RNAcentral lists this unclassified non-coding RNA (514 nucleotides) under Hevea brasiliensis (rubber tree). The record is from RNAcentral. Lineage: Eukaryota; Viridiplantae; Streptophyta; Magnoliopsida; Malpighiales; Euphorbiaceae.
GUCACGAUCUUGUCGGGCGUAUCGUGCGCGACCUUCUCGAUGUCCAUGCCGCCUUCGGUCGACACCACGAACGCCACCCACGACGUUUCGCGAUCGACCAGCAGCGANNNNNNNNNNNNNGGAGCCGUCUUCGAGAUAGAGGCGGUUGACCUGCUUGCCGGCCGGGCCGGUCUGGAUGGUCACCAGCGUUGCGCCGAGCAUCUGCUUGGCGAAGUCCUUCNNNNNNNNNNNGAUCGACUUGGCGAGACGCACGCCGCCCUUGUCGCCUGCCGAGGCUUCCUUGAAUUUGCCCUUGCCGCGUCCGCCGGCGUGGAUCUGGCUCUUCACCACCCACAACGGGCCGCCGAGCUCCUUCGCCGCAGCUUCCGCUUCACCUGCCUUGAGAAUUGGCACGCCGCGCGACACCGGCACGCCCGAAUUCCUUCAGCACCGCCUUGGCCUGAUAUUCGUGGAUGUUCAUGGAUUGCCCCAGAGAACCGAAGUGAGAAAGAGGAAAGCUUAGCGCACGAUCCGG